RNAcentral lists this ribosomal RNA (253 nucleotides) under uncultured bacterium. RNAcentral describes it as "partial 16S ribosomal RNA". It matches the Rfam family "Bacterial small subunit ribosomal RNA", at positions 524 to 776 of the family's 1533-position model. The record is from RNAcentral.
GACAGAGGGUGCAAGCGUUGUUCGGAAUCAUUGGGCGUAAAGGGCGCGUAGGCGGUCAGGUAAGUCAACUGUGAAAGCCCAGGGCUCAACCUUGGAAGUGCAGCUGAAACUACCUGACUAGAGUCUCGGAGAGGGUGGUGGAAUUCCCAGUGUAGAGGUGAAAUUCGUAGAUAUUGGGGGGAACACCAGUGGCGAAGGCGACCGCCUGGACGAAGACUGACGCUGAGGCGCGAGAGCGUGGGGAGCAAACAGG